Molecule: ribosomal RNA, 253 nt
Filed under: uncultured bacterium
Lineage: Bacteria
Description: partial 16S ribosomal RNA
Rfam family: Bacterial small subunit ribosomal RNA
Source: RNAcentral
UACGUAGGGUGCGAGCGUUGUCCGGAAUUAUUGGGCGUAAAGAGCUUGUAGGCGGUUUGUCGCGUCUGCUGUGAAAAUCCGGGACUCAACCCCGGACCUGCAGUGGGUACGGGCAGACUAGAGUGUGGUAGGGGAGACUGGAAUUCCUGGUGUAGCGGUGAAAUGCGCAGAUAUCAGGAGGAACACCGAUGGCGAAGGCAGGUCUCUGGGCCACUACUGACGCUGAGAAGCGAAAGCAUGGGGAGCGAACAGG